Molecule: ribosomal RNA, 254 nt
Filed under: uncultured bacterium
Lineage: Bacteria
Description: partial 16S ribosomal RNA
Rfam family: Bacterial small subunit ribosomal RNA
Source: RNAcentral
UACAGAGGUCUCAAGCGUUGUUCGGAUUCAUUGGGCGUAAAGAGCUCGUAGGCGGUGUGUCACGUCGGCCGUGAAAACCUGCAGCUUAACUGUGGGCGUGCGGUCGAUACGGGCAUCACUGGAGUUCGGCAGGGGAGACUGGAAUUCCUGGUGUAGCGGUGAAAUGCGCAGAUAUCAGGAGGAACACCGGUGGCGAAGGCGGGUCUCUGGGCCGAUACUGACGCUGAGGAGCGAAAGCGUGGGGAGCGAACAGG